UGGGGAAUCUUGCGCAAUGGGCGAAAGCCUGACGCAGCGACGCCGCGUGGGGGAUGAAGCAUUUCGGUGUGUAAACCCCUUUCGACUGGGACGAAUGCCUCGCAAGAGGAGUGACGGUACCAGUAGAAGAAGCCCCGGCUAACUACGUGCCAGCAGCCGCGGUAAGACGUAGGGGGCCAGCGUUGUUCGGAAUUACUGGGUGUAAAGGGUUCGUAGGCGGUGUGGCAAGUUGGGAGUGAAAUCUCUGGGCUUAACCCAGAGGCUGCUUCCAAAACUGCUGUGCUUGAGUGUGGGAGAGGCGCGUGGAAUUGCAGGUGUAGCGGUGAAAUGCGUAGAUAUCUGCAGGAACACCCGUGGCGAAAGCGGCGCGCUGGACCACAACUGACGCUGAGGAACGAAAGCUAGGGGAGCAAACAGGAUUAGAUACCCUGGUAGUCCUAGCCCUAAACGAUCAGGACUUGAGGUGCCACCCGUUCGGGUGUCGUCCCGGAGCUAACGCGUUAAGUCCUGCACCUGGGGAGUACGGUCGCAAGACUG
RNAcentral lists this ribosomal RNA (537 nucleotides) under uncultured bacterium. RNAcentral describes it as "bacterial SSU rRNA". It matches the Rfam family "Bacterial small subunit ribosomal RNA", at positions 355 to 896 of the family's 1533-position model. The record is from RNAcentral.